RNAcentral lists this transfer RNA (77 nucleotides) under Candidatus Omnitrophota bacterium. Its description in RNAcentral is "Candidatus Omnitrophica bacterium tRNA-Lys". It matches the Rfam family "tRNA". From Rfam's summary of the family: Transfer RNA (tRNA) molecules are approximately 80 nucleotides in length. Their secondary structure includes four short double-helical elements and three loops (D, anti-codon, and T loops). The record is from RNAcentral. Lineage: Bacteria; Pseudomonadati; Candidatus Omnitrophota.
GGGCCGCUAGCUCAUAUUGGUAGAGCAUCGCUCUUUUAAGGCGAGGGUGCCGCGUUCGAUUCGCGGGCGGCUCACCA